This 373-nucleotide ribosomal RNA is filed under the name uncultured bacterium. Its description in RNAcentral is "bacterial SSU rRNA". It matches the Rfam family "Bacterial small subunit ribosomal RNA", at positions 527 to 896 of the family's 1533-position model. The record is from RNAcentral.
GUAGGGCGCAAGCGUUGUCCGGAAUUAUUGGGAGUAAAGAGCUCGUAGGCGGUACUGUCGCGUCGGCUGCGACAACUCGGGGCUCAACCCCGAGCCUGCAGUCGAUACGGGCAGACUAGAGUGCGGUAGGGGAGACUGGAAUUCCUGGUGUAGCGGUGAAAUGCGCAGAUAUCAGGAGGAACACCGGUGGCGAAGGCGGGUCUCAGGGCCGUAACUGACGCUGAGGAGCGAAAGCGUGGGGAGCAAACAGGAUUAGAUACCCUGGUAGUUCACGCCGUAAACGGUGGGUGCUAGGUGUAGGCGGUAUUCCACCCCGUCUGUGCCGCAGCUAACGCAUUAAGCACCCCGCCUGGGGAGUACGGCCGCAAGGCUA